UACGUAGGGUCCAAGCGUUGUCCGGAAUUAUUGGGCGUAAAGAGCUCGUAGGCGGUGUGUCGCGUCGGAUGUGAAAGCCCGGGGCUUAACCCCGGGUCUGCAUUCGGUACGGGCAUGCUGGAGUUCGGUAGGGGAGACUGGAAUUCCUGGUGUAGCGGUGAAAUGCGCAGAGUAUCAGGAGGAACACCGGUGGCGAAGGCAGCUCGCUGGGC
Molecule: ribosomal RNA, 212 nt
Filed under: uncultured bacterium
Lineage: Bacteria
Description: partial 16S ribosomal RNA
Rfam family: Bacterial small subunit ribosomal RNA
Source: RNAcentral